This 1234-nucleotide long non-coding RNA is filed under the name Lynx canadensis (Canada lynx). Its description in RNAcentral is "lncRNA (ENSLCNG00005010733.1)". Lineage: Eukaryota; Metazoa; Chordata; Mammalia; Carnivora; Felidae. The record is from RNAcentral.
UGCGAGUUCAUUAACUCCUCAGUCUCUUGGUCCACUCCCACUUGGCAGGAGUGUGGUCCCUGUAGAUGGUGUCCCAGAAGGGCACCGACAUCCAGACUCCCCGUCCUUGGGGCCUCUCAACCCUGCAGCGGGUGGACCCACGCUGCAGUCAGGAACCUUGGUCUAUGCUCACUACUCUCACUAAUUAGCUAUUUUGACCAAGAUAAAUCACCUCUAACCUUUCCGGGCUUCAGCUUCCGAAUCUGAAAACAAGACGAUUGAACUCUUGAAGGUCCCUUCUAUUUCGAAAAACCCAGGAUUCUAUUUCUGACCUACCUCUUUAAGUUUUAAAUAAUGACAACGGCAUCUGAAAGCCUCUUUUCCUAAACUUUUCCCAAGGCCAGAUGUUCCUGGCACUGACUUAGGAGAAAAAAAUAGUUUUUGAAUAACCUAACAUUUUUGUCUUUCAGAGCAAAUUAUCCUCUGGCCUUUUCAAUUCUUUUUCCCCUACUGCUCCCUCCGUAUGAAUCUUUAACAGAAGUUUUAAAAAAGUAAACUAUCUACUCUUCCUGAUUUGUCAGGCAGGGUUUAUCUUGUAACAGCAUUAUUUUUUUUUCUACUUUAGUAUUCCUAUAUAAAACCUCUCCAACAUUGUUAGUCCGGUAACUGUGCCUCAGCCCCAAUUUGUCCCUGUUUUGCAGGAAGGUUAUUAAAUGCUCUGGGGAUGAGGAACAAAAAGCUGAGAGACCGGGCUGGAGAAGGAAGCAAGCUGUCCAUACAGUGCAGACACUCUGGAGAACACCGUGGGCUAGAACGACAAGAGGAACCAAGAAGCUUCCAACUCAACCUCUCUUCAUUACUCUCCCCACCUCUAUCAACACGUUAACGCAGCCACGGAAGAAAUCUAGUAGGUUUUCAAAAACAUCCAGAAAAAGACUCAGCACCCUCUCUGGCCAACAUGUUCUAGUGCUUGAUAACAAUCCAAGAAUGCAGUAACUUCCUCCCUCUAACUCAGAUUCGAGACACUCUCCUUUCUCGUACAGGUCUGAAAGUAUCAGGCCCUUGCGGAAGAGCCUUUUAUUGACCUGACGCUCUUCAUUAAACUGUCCCUCACCGGCCAGAGGAUGAAUAACCUUGGACCACUGAGCUGUUUCUAGGCUCUAAUUUCCAGUGCUUUAACCGUCCCUCUGGCUCGGCUCUAGACUCUUCAAGUCCUCCUUCGUACAAGUAGCACGGCUUGUGAAGACACACAGCU